This is a non-coding RNA of Aegilops tauschii subsp. strangulata, 2457 nucleotides long. The record is from RefSeq and is a predicted model, not a curated record. Lineage: Eukaryota; Viridiplantae; Streptophyta; Magnoliopsida; Poales; Poaceae.
UGCCUCCGCCGGCGCUCGAGCCCGCACUCGCGCCCCCACCCACCCACGCUGCUCUCUUCCCCGAUCCCCUCCCACGAACCCUAGCCUCCUGGUGACGCCGCCCCUUCCUUCCCCCGUCCCCCUCCCCCCCGCGCGACGCGAGCCCCUCCCUCCUCUUCGCGUUUCGGGCGGCCAUGGACGACUCCAUGAGCGGGACCACCGCCGUCGCGGCGCUCGUGGCCGGCGGCGCACUCCACGGGGCUCGGGACGUCCGCGGCGGCGCGGGCUGUGGACCGAGAGGCAGGGCUCGGGACGUCCGCGGCGGCGCGUGCGGUGGACCGAGAGGCAGGGCCCGUGAUGCAUUCCGUUCGAGGGGCUGGUCGGGUUGGCGCGGGAUCUGAGCCACCGUCGAUGGAUUUCUCGCAGCUUGGCUCCUGUUGCUUUGGAUCCGGGCGAGGAGCCGCCGCCAUGUUUCUCCCCGAGCUCUGUGGUGGAAUGGUCUAUUUGUAUCAGAUUGUGUUUAGUGGAUGCGAAGAGCUCAGUUCUGGUAAGCUAGACCCUGAGGCGUGCAGCAGGUAUGUGGAGAUUAAGGAGCGUGCCCAUGUGAGCGGCUUCGAUUUUGUUGUGCCAAGAUCUCCGGUGGCAGGGAUUCACUUCUUUUUUUGGUGAUAGUCAGGAUUCAGUUUGAUGUUUCUGAAUUUUAACAAUCAUGUUUUACAGUACCCUUGACAUGAAUGAGAUGACUGGGCUUAAAUGAGAACGAUGAGAACCAUCCUGUUCUCCGUCGCAAUUAGCAUGUGUUUAAACUACUACUGCAGCAAAUGUUUGUCGUACCUUCAGUUUGUGCCGCAGAAUCUGUGUUUCAUUGGCACUUUUGUGUGUGUUUGAUUUAGUAUCUUUACCCAGGUGCUUGCUAGAGGAGAAGAUUAAUGGUCCAACACGGCUUCAUGAUUUAUGAGCUGGAGGAGAGGGCAUUGGAUGAACUAAUCAGUUCGAAGCUGUAGAGUUUGGAGGUGGAUGUUACUAAAGGGAGGAAGUUGAUCACAAGUUUUCUUUCAACAAUUGGUGAGUUACAGGGAUAUCAUGUGCAUAUGUAUGAGUUUGCUUUGCUUCGGUUGAAGAUAUAUGUGUGCCUGAAGAUACAAUCUUACAUGCAUUUUCUGUAUGAUAUGAUCACUAUUUCGUUCUCUGCGUGUACGUAGGUUGCAAGAAUGAGAAAGCUCCUCCGUGCUUAACAGGAAGAGAUAGGGUCGCAGCCGCACCGCGCGACGGCAGGCCAUGGCGAGCCGCACCGCACCAGGUGGGCUAGGGCGAGCUCCAGCGCGAGCGAGCGCACCUGUCGCCCACGCCGGCGGUGUUCCGGCCACGAGCAACAGGAACACAGGGUCCCUGACCACGGCUAGAUCUCCUCCUUCUCUGUCCACAUGCGUGCAGCAAGAACUAGCAGCCGCACGGAUCUGAGCUCGACCUCUCAAUUUUGUUUCACUUUUCAAGGAUGAGUAUCUUUACUUUGAAAAUGAACUGGUCAUAUUUCUAUUGGAAAUGAAGUGAUGUUGCUUCCCAGGACCAAUUAGGAUGUAUACCUGAAGGAGUGAAUCUACUGGUUCAGCUGAAAAUUGAUCUCUAUUUGGUUUCUGUUUUUGUGUUUGGUUUUGCCGGCCGCUCGUCCUUCGUAUGCUCAUCCAUCUUGGCUGCUCUGCUUGCCUGCUUCUCCUCUCUAACUCAGAAGGAGGAGACGUCGCUGCUCCGUACGUGUGUUGAACGCGGAGGUGCCGUCCGUUCGGCGCUCGGUCAUCGGUGAUUUGGAUCACGACGAGUACGACUCCAUCAACCCCGUUCACUUGAACGCUUCCGCUCGCGAUCUACAAGGGUUCUGCGAUCUCUUGUGUUGCUGCGUCCCGAUCUUCUGCUUUGUUUCAUCUCUGUUCUGUCAUCGAGGAGGGAGCAGCAGGCAUAGAAGAAAUCCCAAGCCAAUUUUGCUCAGCUGUAGCAUCUUCCACUGACAAUAAGUCUGCACAACAGCCUGGUGAGGCUGAUGUUCUUGCUUAAUAUAAGCCAACAAUGGAGAAACGGACCAAGCUAUCUUUCAUGAUCGGUUACACACCAAGCCUAUGUUUUUGUUGCUUCUACAUGUUGCUAUGAUGGUCAUUCAGCCCAUUUUCUUGAACCUGCACUACAACGAGAGAUCUGGGCUGCUUCUUUGUGGCUUCCAAACUUGAAAUGUUUGUUUGGAAGUUAGUUUAGAUUUUUGUUGUGGAUUCACAACUUCUCACAUGUACCAUCCUCUUAGACCUUUAGAUUUCCAAAGAAACUAAAUGAAGAUAUGGUGGUAUGGUCUCAAUAGUAGAACUUAAAGCCUUCCAUGCUUUAUAUUUUCUCUGAAAUUUGCUCUCGAAGAAUCAUGUAUCUAUGUUAGAUCUGGUGAGAAAAGGCGGCUUCCAAGCAGAGGAUGUGGGAGUGUUGGCCACAUUUGAUUUU